GUGGUUUAGUUCAGUUGGUUAGAGCAUCCGGCUCAUAACCGGGGAGUCAUAGGUUCGAGUCCUGUAACCACC
Molecule: transfer RNA, 72 nt
Filed under: uncultured Agathobacter sp.
Lineage: Bacteria; Bacillati; Bacillota; Clostridia; Lachnospirales; Lachnospiraceae
Rfam family: tRNA
About the family: Transfer RNA (tRNA) molecules are approximately 80 nucleotides in length. Their secondary structure includes four short double-helical elements and three loops (D, anti-codon, and T loops).
Source: RNAcentral